UUAUAGGUUCACAUUUCGGAAACAACUUAUCCACUAAUGGAGUAGAGGCUUUGUACUUGUAAACCCUCCCUAUAUCAAAAAAGAGUGUUUUCGGCUGCAUAGAUAGGAUGGAACGUGAAAGCAACUGUAGAACAAGUUGGAUGGACUUGAUCGCUUGAGAAAAUAUGAUGUGAUAAACCGUUCUAGUUGCAUCAAAUAAUUGGGGUAUAACAUGUUUUGUAAAGAUUGAAGUUAGAGAAAUAAUUGUAUAACUUUCCAGAAGUUCUCAGAAGUUGACAAAACUAAGCAAUUAUUUGUGGAAAAUGAAUUAAAUUAAGAGCACACUAGAUCUUGUUGAACGUUCUAAGGUGAUCCUCAACAUAGGGCUUCUUUGUAAGUUAUGGUGAGAUUUCGAAAGUAAUAAAUUCUUCUAGCUUUACAAUACCA
Long non-coding RNA from Glycine soja, 426 nucleotides. RefSeq lists it as uncharacterized. The transcript is spliced from 2 exons. The record is from RefSeq and is a predicted model, not a curated record. NCBI's taxonomy places the organism in Eukaryota, Viridiplantae, Streptophyta, Magnoliopsida, Fabales, Fabaceae.